This 286-nucleotide long non-coding RNA is filed under the name Selaginella moellendorffii. Its description in RNAcentral is "long non-coding RNA (SMOE_LNC001624)". The record is from RNAcentral. Lineage: Eukaryota; Viridiplantae; Streptophyta; Lycopodiopsida; Selaginellales; Selaginellaceae.
CAAAAGAAUAUUUGUGAUAGUUACUCAUUUUAUGCCCUAGAUAACAAUUGAAAGUUCGUGGCAUUUGGUGCGGUGACAACUGGGACGCUUCCAGAUAGAACAGAAAGUGGUAGUUCUGCACCAUCAAGCUCCUGCUGCUCUCACUAGCAAUAAUCAAGAGGUACGAGAGAUUUAGUUCUCCUGUGGCAGAUCAAUGCACCAUGGAAGUCUGGCUAGUAAAUAUCCUUGAUGCGUCUCAAGAAUCGGGGUGAUUUUUGGGUGCUAAAAUCGGGAGGAGUAUCAAGCU